This 2939-nucleotide ribosomal RNA is filed under the name Cetobacterium sp. 2G large. Its description in RNAcentral is "23S ribosomal RNA". It matches the Rfam family "Bacterial large subunit ribosomal RNA". Lineage: Bacteria; Fusobacteriati; Fusobacteriota; Fusobacteriia; Fusobacteriales; Fusobacteriaceae. The record is from RNAcentral.
AGGUUAAAAUAUUAAGGGCACACGAAGGAUGCCUAGGAAGUAAGAGCCGAUGAAGGACGUGGUAAGCUGCGAUAAGCUUGGUGGAGUUGCAAUCGAACUGUGAUGCCAAGAUUUCCGAAUGGAGAAAUCUGCUAAGAUGGAGUCUUAGCACGAAAGAGGGAACCGGGUGAACUGAAACAUCUAAGUAACCCGAGGAAAAGAAAGUAAAAACGAUCCCCUAAGUAGCGGCGAGCGAACGGGGGUGAGCCCAAACCGUAGAUGUGCCAAGGAUGCAGCCGUUGCAUCUACGGGGUAGCGGGAAGAUCGUCUGAAGAACUGCAAGGUAUUCGACAUUAUGAUACGCCGAACUGGAAAGGUCUGGAAAGGCCUGCCGUAGAGAGUGAAAGCCUCGUACAGGUAAACCGUAUCAAAUGUAUGAUCUCUCCCAAGUAGCACGGAACACGAGGAAUUCUGUGUGAAUCUGCGAGGACCAUAUCUCGUAAGGCUAAAUACUCUUACUUACCGAUAGCGCAUAGUACCGUGAGGGAAAGGUGAAAAGAACCCCGGGAGGGGAGUGAAAUAGAACCUGAAAUCGUGUGCUUACAAGCGGUCAGAGCCCUUUGGGGUGAUGGCGUGCCUUUUGGAGAAUGAUCCUGCGAGUUACGUUCAGUGGCAAGGUUAAGUUUAACGGAGCCGAAGGGAAACCGAGUCUGAAUAGGGCGACAUAGUCGCUGGGCGUAGACGCGAAACCUGGUGAUCUAAGCCUGUCCAGGGUGAAGCUGUGGUAAGACACAGUGGAGGCCCGAACUCACCGCCGUUGAAAAGUUGGGAGAUGAGGUAGGUUUAGGGGUGAAAAGCCAAUCGAACCAGGAGAUAGCUCGUUCUCUCCGAAAUGCAUUUAGGUGCAGCCUUGAGUGUUCAAUUAUGGGGGUAGAGCACUGAAUGACCUAGGGGGCAUACUGCUUACCGAAGUCAAUCAAACUCCGAAUACCAUAAUUCUAGAGCUCAGGAGUGAGACUAUGGGAAUUAACUUCCAUGGUCAAAAGGGAAACAACCCAGACCACCAGCUAAGGUCCCUAAUUAUAACUAAGUGGGAAAGGAGGUGGAGAUUCACAAACAACCAGGAGGUUGGCUUAGAAGCAGCCAUACCUUUAAAGAGUGCGUAAUAGCUCACUGGUCGAGAGUCUCUGCGCCGACAAUGUAACGGGGCUAAGUUAUAAACCGAAGCUGUGGAGUUGCGUAAGCGACUGGUAGGAGAGCGUUCUGUAGGCCGUUGAAGGAGAAUCGACAAGAGACUCUGGAGGUAUCAGAAGUGAGAAUGCAGGAAUAAGUAGCGAGAAUGGGGGCGAGAAUCCCCCACGCCGGAAGACCAAGGGUUCCAGGGUAAAGUUUGUCUCCCCUGGGUAAGCCGGGUCCUAAGCCGAGGCUAGAUUGCGUAGGCGAAUGGAAAACAGAUUAAUAUUUCUGUGCCACUGAUAUCAAGUGAUGGAGGGACGCAGGAGGUUAUGCACGCUGGCGAACGGAAGUGCCAGUUCAAGCAUGUAGCGUGGUCUAGUAGGAAAAUCCGCUAGACUAAACGUGAGGUGUGAUGAGGAGUCGUAAGAUGGAAGGUGCAAAUACCACACUGCCGAGAAAAGCUUCUAAGCGUUAUAAAGAUAUUAGUGCCCGUACCCCAAACCGACACAGGUGGUCAGGAUGAGAAAUCUAAGGCGGACAGGCUAACUCUCGUUAAGGAACUCUGCAAAAUAGCCCCGUAACUUCGGGAGAAGGGGUGCCUUUUAUGGUGAGCGUACACGCGACGCAAAGCUAUGAGAGGCCGCAGUGAAGAGUCUCAGGCGACUGUUUAACAAAAACACAGGUCUAUGCUAAGCUGUAAGGCGACGUAUAUGGGCUGACACCUGCCCAGUGCCGGAAGGUUAAGAGGAGGAGUGAGAGCUCCGAAUUGAAGCCCCGGUGAACGGCGGCCGUAACUAUAACGGUCCUAAGGUAGCGAAAUUCCUUGUCGGGUAAGUUCCGACCUGCACGAAUGGUGUAACGAUCUGAGAGCUGUCUUGACGGGAGGCCUGGUGAAAUUGUAUUACCGGUGAAGAUACCGGUUACCUGCAGUAGGACGGAAAGACCCCAUGGAGCUUUACUGUAGCUUGGUAUUGGGUUUUGGCAUCGUAUGUAUAGGAUAGUUGGGAGACUAUGAUGCGUGGUCGCUAGAUUACGCGGAGUCACUGGUGGAAUACCAACCAUACUAUGUCGGAAUUCUAAUUUGAGGUUUGUACCCUCGAAGACAGUGCUAGGUGGGCAGUUUGACUGGGGCGGUCGCCUCCGAAAGAGUAACGGAGGCGUUCAAAGGUUCUCUCAGGUUGGAUGGAAAUCAACCGCAGAGUGCAAUGGCAUAAGAGAGCUUAACUGCGAGACUGACGGGUCGAGCAGGUGCGAAAGCAGGACAUAGUGAUCCGGCGAUUCCGAAUGGAAGGGUCGUCGCUCAACGGAUAAAAGCUACCCUGGGGAUAACAGGCUGAUUCUACCCGAGAGUCCAUAUCGACGGUAGAGUUUGGCACCUCGAUGUCGGCUCAUCGCAUCCUGGGGCUGGAGAAGGUCCCAAGGGUUGGGCUGUUCGCCCAUUAAAGCGGUACGUGAGCUGGGUUCAGAACGUCGUGAGACAGUUCGGUCCCUAUCCACUGUAGGCGUUAGAGUAUUGAGAAGAUCUGUCCUUAGUACGAGAGGACCGGGAUGGACAAACCUCUGAUGUACCAGUUGUCACGCCAGUGGCACAGCUGGGUAGUCACGUUUGGAACAGAUAACCGCUGAAAGCAUCUAAGCGGGAAACUGACUUCAAGAUAAGUACUCUUUAAGAUACCUUCGAGACUAGGAGGUUGAUAGGUUGGGGGUGUAAGAGUUGUGAGACUUUUAGCUGACCAAUACUAAUAUAUCGAAGUUUUAACCUUAAUAUACUACUAUAUAGUUUC